AGACCACAGAUACUUGGGUCCCACCCCCAGUGAUUCUGACAUAGUUGUUAUGGGGUGAAGCCUGGGUAUUGGCAGUUUUCAGAGCUCCCCAGGUGACGCUAAUGUGCAGCAAGAACACGUCUCACCUGCAGGCCUCUCCCAGGGGGCUCGCAUUGCCCUGGCUGGUGAUGCUUCCUUGGCUUCAUCAGACUUUCACUCCUGCUCAGGAAGAGGCACCUCGAGAGCCCGGGGGAAGCAGAACCAGGAGUGGCCAGGGAUGCCCAGCACAGUUGAGAAGCUGAGCCCCUGCAACGGGCAGCUGGGCCCCGGCCACAGAGGUGCGCAUUGGGCACCUUCUGCCCUGCCCACCCCAGGCCAGGCGAGUGUGCUGGCUGGACACAGGCUUCAGGGGCUGUGUGUCUGUGGCCAUCGUUCCUCCGGCAGCAGAAACCCAGGAGAGAGAACGGCUGGAGCAGCUGAGGCAGGAGAUCCACCCCAGUCCUGCCUUCUACACUUUCUUCCCUCUGGAUGAGUUCUCCCCUGGGAAGCUCAAUGGUCCUCCCUAGAAAUGGACCCCAGCAGACCCCCAGCAUCGGGAAUCCCGGGACCCACACGUGCUGCUGACAACGGGGAGCACCCGAGACGGGAAGGUUCACACAUACAUCUAGCUUUUCACUCCCUCCCACG
This 666-nucleotide long non-coding RNA is filed under the name Equus caballus (horse). RNAcentral's name for it is "lncRNA (ENSECAG00000046856.1)". Lineage: Eukaryota; Metazoa; Chordata; Mammalia; Perissodactyla; Equidae. The record is from RNAcentral.